UACGAAGGGGGCUAGCGUUGUUCGGAAUCACUGGGCGUAAAGGGCGCGUAGGCGGCUUUGUAAGUCGGGGGUGAAAGCCUGUGGCUCAACCACAGAAUUGCCUUCGAUACUGCGUGGCUUGAGACCGGAAGAGGUUAGUGGAACUGCGAGUGUAGAGGUGAAAUUCGUAGAUAUUCGCAAGAACACCAGUGGCGAAGGCGGCUGACUGGUCCGGAUCUGACGCUGAGGCGCGAAAGCGUGGGGAGCAAACAGG
This 253-nucleotide ribosomal RNA is filed under the name uncultured bacterium. RNAcentral describes it as "partial 16S ribosomal RNA". It matches the Rfam family "Bacterial small subunit ribosomal RNA", at positions 524 to 776 of the family's 1533-position model. The record is from RNAcentral.